UAUAUGACUCGACAAGGGGACCAGUGAACAGAAGAACAGAAAUCAGAAUUCUGACAACAUAACAGAAGGCAGAAGUCCUUGUGAGUCAUUCUCGGAGACCAUAGGGCAGAACGCAAAGAACAUAACAUAGGAGUCAAAUGGAGCCGAACACUUCAGUCACUCACGUGAUGGCUGUGUGUCCUUGGGCUCUACAAGAAGCAUGGUAUCAGCAUCUG
Molecule: long non-coding RNA, 215 nt
Filed under: Homo sapiens (human)
Lineage: Eukaryota; Metazoa; Chordata; Mammalia; Primates; Hominidae
Description: HSALNT0345118
Source: RNAcentral